AGAGUUUGAUCAUGGCUCAGAACGAACGCUGGCGGCGCGCCUAAUACAUGCAAGUCGAACGAGAAGGCGUAGCAAUACGCUUGUAAAGUGGCGAACGGGUGAGGAUUACAUGGGUAACCUACCCUCGAGUGGGGGAUAACCAGCCGAAAGGUUGGCUAAUACCGCGUACGCUUCCGGAACUGCGGUUUCGGAAGGAAAGCGAUACCGUGGGUAUCGCGCUCUUGGAUGGGCUCAUGCCCUAUCAGCUUGUUGGUGAGGUAACGGCUCACCAAGGCUUCGACGGGUAGCCGGCCUGAGAGGGUGACCGGCCACACUGGGACUGAGACACGGCCCAGACUCCUACGGGAGGCAGCAGUGGGGAAUAUUGGACAAUGGGCGAAAGCCUGAUCCAGCAACGCCGCGUGAGGGAUGACGGCCUUCGGGUUGUAAACCUCUUUCAGUACCGACGAAGCGCCUUUACGGGUGGUGACGGUAGGUACAGAAGAAGGACCGGCCAACUACGUGCUAGCAGCCGCGGUAAUAC
Molecule: ribosomal RNA, 523 nt
Filed under: uncultured bacterium
Lineage: Bacteria
Description: bacterial SSU rRNA
Rfam family: Bacterial small subunit ribosomal RNA
Source: RNAcentral